UUGUCCCUGCAUAGCAGGGC
This 20-nucleotide small nuclear RNA is filed under the name Arabidopsis thaliana (thale cress). Its description in RNAcentral is "snRNA_07890". The record is from RNAcentral. Lineage: Eukaryota; Viridiplantae; Streptophyta; Magnoliopsida; Brassicales; Brassicaceae.